Molecule: long non-coding RNA, 1293 nt
Organism: Haplochromis burtoni (Burton's mouthbrooder)
Lineage: Eukaryota; Metazoa; Chordata; Actinopteri; Cichliformes; Cichlidae
Exons: 3
Source: RefSeq, a predicted model, not a curated record
AAUCAUAACGAGACACGGCAGGAGUAACACAACACUGACGGGAGACUAUCAAAGUAAAACAGGAAGCACACAGAGACGCAGACCAGAUUGGAAGAGAACACAGACAUAGCGGGCUGGGAAAACAUGGAAUAAAACACAAGGAGGAGAAACGAGGCAUGGGGGCUGGCAGAUACACAGAGGGGGCACACAGGGGGUAAAGUCACGAGGGGAAAUCAAAUAAGCAACAUCUUAACAGAACAACCGAGGGACCCUAAAGCUGACAUCAAACAACAACAAUACAAGACACACAAAAAACCAGGUAGAAGUCCCAGGACCAUGACAUGCAGGUGGUUACAUAUGGUUAAAAUGAUUCAAAUGCACUAAGUAUGCAUGUUUUUCAUAUCAAUAUAGUCCAUAACUUGAUUACUGUCUGUAGCCCACAUGAUUAAACACUUUAGUUACAUAAAACAUGUGAGGUUAGAUUUUAUCUACUGUAUAGCCUGUAUAGUAAAUUAAUAUGUAGCCCAAUAAGUAUAAAAUCCAGAAAGCUACACAACAUGGGGCGGUUCAUUUACAAACACAGGUCUAACUUGAGUUUCACACAGUUUUUAUUAGAAAACAAUCAAAUUGUUAAAUGCUUCAAGUACACAAAAUGUCAGAAAUCUGCACCGUCAUGAACAGAAAUUUAAACCUAAUUUUUCGUGAUUUGUUGAUUAACCCUCCGAGGUCUAAAUCCCACGUUGUGCACAUCAACAUCACAGAUUUGUACAAAUAAAAGUUAUAACAAAGACAUGUUAAAUAUUAAGCACUGGAAACAGCUUGUUGUUUUGUUGCCAUAGCGUUUUGUUUUGUCUCCAUUUAAAAGAUAUCAAAAUCUGAGCAAACAACUUGAUGUCAAAAGAAUCUCUGCACAUUCCGCAGUCUUUGCUGCUAAAGUGACAUCACAGCAUUUAAGCAUGUUUGAAUGAAAACAUCAGCAUAUGAACACAAAACUGAAGAGACACUGCAACCGAAUGAAAGCAGACCACUAUUUAGUGACAUUUGGACGUUUCCCUGAGGAUUAACUGCUGUGUAAUCUACCAAGAACUAAAUCAAAAUGAGUGCAAGUGGAGACGGACCACAAAAUAACCAAAACGGCCAACAGGUUAACCCACAAAGGUUCCCAAAUGGAGAUCAGGAACCUGCUAAUGGCUUCCUGAACGAUCUGUAUCUCGCUCUCCAUGAUUUUUGUUGCUAUCUAGAUGAGCUAAUAGCUUCAGUACUGGCACAAUAUGACAAUUACCUUUACGGGGACGAAGACGAUGACGACGACGA